This 508-nucleotide ribosomal RNA is filed under the name uncultured Sclerocystis. RNAcentral's name for it is "SSU rRNA". It matches the Rfam family "Eukaryotic small subunit ribosomal RNA", at positions 569 to 1078 of the family's 1831-position model. The record is from RNAcentral. Lineage: Eukaryota; Fungi; Glomeromycota; Glomeromycetes; Glomerales; Glomeraceae.
AGCAGCCGCGGUAAUUCCAGCUCCAAUAGCGUAUAUUAAAGUUGUUGCAGUUAAAAAGCUCGUAGUUGAAUUUCGGGAUUAGUAAGUUGGUCGUGCCUCUGGUAUGUACUGGCUUUACUGGUUCCUCCUUCUUGAAGAACUGUAAUGUCAUUAAUUUGGUGUUGCAGGGAAACAGGACUGUUACUUUGAAAAAAUUAGAGUGUUUAAAGCAGGCACACGCUUGAAUACAUUAGCAUGGAAUAAUGAAGUAGGACGUUUGACCCUAUUUUGUUGGUUUCUAGGAUCGACGUAAUGAUUAAUAGGGAUAGUUGGGGGCAUUAGUAUUCAAUUGUCAGAGGUGAAAUUCUUGGAUUUAUUGAAGACUAACUACUGCGAAAGCAUUUGCCAAGGAUGUUUUCAUUAAUCAAGAACGAAAGUUAGGGGAUCGAAGACGAUCAGAUACCGUCGUAGUCUUAACCAUAAACUAUGCCGACUAGGGAUCGGAUGAUGUUAAUUUUUUAAUGACUCA